Long non-coding RNA from Panicum virgatum (switchgrass), 441 nucleotides. RefSeq lists it as uncharacterized. The record is from RefSeq and is a predicted model, not a curated record. The transcript is spliced from 4 exons. Lineage: Eukaryota; Viridiplantae; Streptophyta; Magnoliopsida; Poales; Poaceae.
GGACCUGAUAAAAGAAGCACACAACAAUGGCAAUCCAUUACCAGAAUAUAAUAAUGCAGCACAGGUCUGGAAUGAACCAUCACUUCUUCUGGGAAUCAAUGCAACCAGAAGGUGGCGGCUUACCAUCAGAUAGAAAAGGAUUUUGGCCCGUUUACUAAUUUCAGGGAAGACUUUAUUUCCUAAGCCUUACAACUAUUGGGGUCUGGUUGGGUUUGGCUUGUCUUGAGGAGAAAUGAGAGAAAGCUUUCAGUAGUUCAUACACGAAAUGCCAUCUCCCCUCUUGCUUUUGGCGAUAUUCCAAUUGCCAGCCUAGACUUAUGGGAGGUAAGGACAUUGACUCCAAGUUUUUAGAUCCUACUUUGUGCCAUAUACUGACAUUUGUCCUUUUCUGUUCACCUCUCUUUUUGUGUACUUGUUCGGCAAAUUAGUUCUAAAAAAUUU